Molecule: ribosomal RNA, 459 nt
Filed under: uncultured bacterium
Lineage: Bacteria
Description: partial 16S ribosomal RNA
Rfam family: Bacterial small subunit ribosomal RNA
Source: RNAcentral
CCUACGGGAGGCAGCAGUGAGGAAUAUUGGUCAAUGGCCGAGAGGCUGAACCAGCCAAGUCGCGUGAGGGAAGACGGCCCUACGGGUUGUAAACCUCUUUUGUCGGGGCACAAAGCGAGUCACGUGUGACUCAUUGAGAGUACCCGAAGAAAAAGCAUCGGCUAACUCCGUGCCAGCAGCCGCGGUAAUACGGAGGAUGCGAGCGUUAUCCGGAUUUAUUGGGUUUAAAGGGUGCGCAGGCGGAGGUGCAAGUCAGCGGUCAAAUUGCGGGGCUCAACCCCGUCCUGCCGUUGAAACUGCAGCCCUUGAGUGCGCGAGAAGUAUGCGGAAUGCGUGGUGUAGCGGUGAAAUGCAUAGAUAUCACGCAGAACUCCGAUUGCGAAGGCAGCAUACCGGCGCGCAACUGACGCUCAUGCACGAAAGCGUGGGUAUCGAACAGGAUUAGAGACCCGAGUAGUC